This 406-nucleotide ribosomal RNA is filed under the name uncultured bacterium. RNAcentral's name for it is "partial 16S ribosomal RNA". It matches the Rfam family "Bacterial small subunit ribosomal RNA", at positions 29 to 526 of the family's 1533-position model. The record is from RNAcentral.
AUUGAACGCUGGCGGCAGGCCUAACACAUGCAAGUCGAACGAGUGGCGGACAGGUGAGUAAUGUCUGGAAAACUGCCCGAUGGAGGGGGAUAACUACUGGAAACGGUAGAUAAUACCGCAUACCAUCGGAGGUGCCCAGAGGGGAUUAGCCAGUAGGGGGGGUAACGGCUCACCUAGGCGACGAUCCCUCGCUGGUCUGAGAGGAUGACCAGCACCACUGGAACGGAGACACGGUCCAGACUCCUACGGGAGGCAGAAGUGGGGAAGAUUGCACAAUGGGCGCAAGCCUGAGGCAGCCAUGCGGCGUGUAUGAAGAAGGCCUUCGGGUGGUAAAGUACUUUCAGCGAGGAGGCGUUACUCGCAGAAGAAGCACCGGCUAACUCCGUGCCAGCAGCCGCGGUAAUAC